AAAAUUAUGUUUUAAAAGAAAAAAUCAAUUUCAUAAAUAAAAAAUACAGGUUGAAUCUAAACUUUUAUUUCUUCAAACAAAGUUAUAGAUAAAAAAGAUAAAGUUUUGUAUUAUUUAAAAUAAUACUAUAAUUAAAGAUAUAUUUUUAAAUAAAUAUUUAUUUAUUUAAAAAUAACAAUAAAAUUGAAAUCAUAAAGCAAAGGUUCAGCUCUUUUUAUUCUUU
RNAcentral lists this transfer RNA (223 nucleotides) under Pneumocystis jirovecii. RNAcentral describes it as "tRNA-Met(CAT)". The record is from RNAcentral. Lineage: Eukaryota; Fungi; Ascomycota; Pneumocystomycetes; Pneumocystales; Pneumocystaceae.